CUGGCGGCAGGCCUAACACAUGCAAGUCGAACGGUAACAUUUCUAGCUUGCUAGAAGAUGACGAGUGGCGGACGGGUGAGUAAUGCUUGGGAACUUGCCUUUGCGAGGGGGAUAACAGUUGGAAACGACUGCUAAUACCGCAUAAUGUCCUCGGACCAAACGGGGCUUCGGCUCCGGCGCAAAGAGAGGCCCAAGUGAGAUUAGCUAGUUGGUAAGGUAACGGCUUACCAAGGCGACGAUCUCUAGCUGUUCUGAGAGGAAGAUCAGCCACACUGGGACUGAGACACGGCCCAGACUCCUACGGGAGGCAGCAGUGGGGAAUAUUGCACAAUGGGGGGAACCCUGAUGCAGCCAUGCCGCGUGUGUGAAGAAGGCCUUCGGGUUGUAAAGCACUUUCAGUUGUGAGGAAAAGUUAGUAGUUAAUACCUGCUAGCCGUGACGUUAACAACAGAAGAAGCACCGGCUAACUCCGUGCCAGCAGCCGCAGUAAUACGGAGGGUGCGAGCGUUAAUCGGAAUUACUGGGCGUA
RNAcentral lists this ribosomal RNA (529 nucleotides) under uncultured bacterium. RNAcentral describes it as "bacterial SSU rRNA". It matches the Rfam family "Bacterial small subunit ribosomal RNA", at positions 36 to 562 of the family's 1533-position model. The record is from RNAcentral.